CUAGUAAAGACGUCUGCCUAGAACCGUGUGAGUUCUGUGUCCUGUUGGAUCAUCAACUUGUUUCCAUAAACAAGUGUGGAAAGCAGGUGUCGCGGUCAUGAUAAAUAAGGAAAGACUUAGUUCUACUUUCACAGACCAGAAGGACACCAUGCUUGAUGUUAUGUCAGAACCUGGAGCAGAAAAGGACAAUAAUGGAAAGAAACAGUCAAAUCUGAUGUGUAAAAGCAAAGCGAUUUUGGGAAGAGGAACUGCCUCAGAACCUUGUGCGCUUAGGACUCUCCACAUGGCCUGUCUCCAGGCAAAACCACCCAGGACUCAACGCUAGCAGGUGAGGCCAAGAGAGGACCCUGAAGACCCGAGAUCCGGAUGCGCCAUCUCUCUUGGUUCCUGGACCCUGGAUGCUGGAGGCAGACCGAACAGAG
Peromyscus eremicus (cactus mouse) is the source of this 422-nucleotide long non-coding RNA. RefSeq lists it as uncharacterized. The record is from RefSeq and is a predicted model, not a curated record. NCBI's taxonomy places the organism in Eukaryota, Metazoa, Chordata, Mammalia, Rodentia, Cricetidae. The transcript has 4 exons.